This 501-nucleotide ribosomal RNA is filed under the name uncultured Glomeromycotina. RNAcentral's name for it is "partial small subunit ribosomal RNA". It matches the Rfam family "Eukaryotic small subunit ribosomal RNA", at positions 591 to 1092 of the family's 1831-position model. The record is from RNAcentral. Lineage: Eukaryota; Fungi; Glomeromycota.
CCAAUAGCGUAUAUUAAAGUUGUUGCAGUUAAAAAGCUCGUAGUUGAAUUUCGGGAUCAAUGUUUCGGUCAUGCCGUUGGUAUGUACUGAUAUUAUUGAUUUCUCACCUUCUAAAGAACCGUAAUGCCAUUAAUUUGGUGUCACGGGGAAUUAGGACUGUUACCUUGAAAAAAUUAGAGUGUUUAAAGCAGGCUCACGCUUGAAUACAUUAGCAUGGAAUAAUGAAAUAGGACAUCCGAUUCUAUUUUGUUGGUUUCUAGGAUCGAUGUAAUGAUUAAUAGGGAUUGUUGGGGGCAAUUGUAUUCAAUUGUCAGAAGUGAAAUUCUUUGAAUUAUUGAAGACUAACUACUGCGAAAGCAUUUGCCAAGGAUGUUUUCAUUAAUCAAGAACGAAAGUUAGGGGAUCGAAGACGAUCAGAUACCGUCUUAGUUUUAACCAUAAACUAUGCCGACUAGGGAUCGGAUGAUGUUAAUUUUUUAAUGACUCAUUCGGCGCCUUACG